This 245-nucleotide ribosomal RNA is filed under the name uncultured Actinomycetales bacterium. RNAcentral's name for it is "partial 16S ribosomal RNA". It matches the Rfam family "Bacterial small subunit ribosomal RNA", at positions 85 to 334 of the family's 1533-position model. Lineage: Bacteria; Bacillati; Actinomycetota; Actinomycetes; Actinomycetales. The record is from RNAcentral.
GGGUACUCGAGUGGCGAACGGGUGAGUAACACGUGGGUGAUCUGCCCUGCACUUCGGGAUAAGCCUGGGAAACUGGGUCUAAUACCGGAUAGGACCACAUUUUGGAUGGUGUGGUGGAAAGUUUUUCGGUGUGGGAUGAGCUCGCGGCCUAUCAGCUUGUUGGUGGGGUAAUGGCCUACCAAGGCGUCGACGGGUAGCCGGCCUGAGAGGGUGUACGGCCACAUUGGGACUGAGAUACGGCCCAG